RNAcentral lists this ribosomal RNA (484 nucleotides) under uncultured bacterium. RNAcentral's name for it is "partial 16S ribosomal RNA". It matches the Rfam family "Bacterial small subunit ribosomal RNA", at positions 30 to 507 of the family's 1533-position model. The record is from RNAcentral.
AUUGAACGCUGGCGGCAGGCCUAACACAUGCAAGUCGAGCGGAUGAAGGGAGCUUGCUCCUGGAUUCAGCGGCGGACGGGUGAGUAAUGCCUAGGAAUCUGCCUGGUAGUGGGGGAUAACGUCCGGAAACGGACGCUAAUACCGCAUACGUCCUGAGGGAGAAAGUGGGGGAUCUUCGGACCUCACGCUAUCAGAUGAGCCUAGGUCGGAUUAGCUAGUUGGUGGGGUAAAGGCCUACCAAGGCGACGAUCCGUAACUGGUCUGAGAGGAUGAUCAGUCACGCUGGAACUGAGACACGGUCCAGACUCCUACGGGAGGCAGCAGUGGGGAAUAUUGGACAAUGGGCGAAAGCCUGAUCCAGCCAUGCCGCGUGUGUGAAGAAGGUCUUCGGAUUGUAAAGCACUUUAAGUUGGGAGGAAGGGCAGUAAGUUAAUACCUUGCUGUUUUGACGUUACCAACAGAAUAAGCACCGGCUAACUUCGUG